RNAcentral lists this transfer RNA (69 nucleotides) under Nipponocypris koreanus (Korean chub). Its description in RNAcentral is "tRNA-Ser". The record is from RNAcentral. Lineage: Eukaryota; Metazoa; Chordata; Actinopteri; Cypriniformes; Xenocyprididae.
AAGGAAGGAUCGAAAUCAAUAAGUACUGCUAAUCCUUAUGCCCCGCGGUUGAAUUGCGCGGCUUGCCUU